This 735-nucleotide ribosomal RNA is filed under the name uncultured organism. Its description in RNAcentral is "bacterial SSU rRNA". It matches the Rfam family "Bacterial small subunit ribosomal RNA", at positions 559 to 1307 of the family's 1533-position model. The record is from RNAcentral.
CGUAAAGCGCGCGCAGGCGGGCCAGCAAGUCAUGUGUGAAAGCUCCCGGCUAAACUGGGAGAGGUCAGAUGAUACUGCUGGUCUUGAGGAUGUCAGAGGCGUGUGGAAUUCCGCGUGUAGUGGUGAAAUGCGUAGAUAUGCGGAGGAACACCAGUGGCGAAGGCGGCACGCUGGGACACACCUGACGCUGAGGCGCGGAAGCAUGGGUAGCGAACGGGAUUAGAAACCCCGGUAGUCCAUGCCGUAAACGAUGUACACUAGACGUUCGUGCAGCUUCGGUUGUGUGAGUGUCGAAGCCAACGCGCUAAGUGUACCGCCUGGGGAGUACGGUCGCAAGGCUAAAACUCAAAGGAAUUGACGGGGGCCCGCACAAGCAGCGGAGCGUGUGGUUUAAUUCGAGGCUACGCGAAAAACCUUACCUGGGUUUGACAUCAAUGCGAACAAAAGCGAAAGCUGGCGGUCCUUCGGGCGCAUUGACAGGUGCUGCAUGGCUGUCGUCAGCUCGUGUCGUGAGAUGUUCGGUUAAGUCCGAAAACGAGCGCAACCCCUAGGUUUAGUUACAAGUGUCUAGACCGACUGCCUGCGGCAAGCAGGAGGAAGGUGGGGAUGACGUCAAGUCAGCAUGGCCUUUAUGUCCGGGGCUACACACACGCUACGAUGGCGCGUACGAUGGGUCGCGAACCCGCGAGGGGAAGCCAAUCCUACAAAGCGCGUCGUAGUUCGGAUUGUAGGCUG